GCUGGUGGCUCACUGGGAGUGAGACAACCGGAGUUGGGGAUUUGAGACAGGAUUUAGAAUAGAACAAGCAAAGCCUGUAAUCCCAGCACUCGAGAGGGUGAGGCAGGAGGAUUAUUGCAGGUUCGAGCCCAGCCUGGACUACAAAGUGAGCUCAAGGCCAGCCUGAAUUGCACAGCAAGAUUCUAUCUCAGAGAGAGAGAGAGAGAGAGAGAGAGAGAGAGAGAGAGAGAGAGAGAGAGCAAGAGAGAGGCUGGCCUGGAGAAAAAGACAGGACUGACCCUUCAGGGUUCAGGUAGGCCUGGGCUGUGCAGAAAGAAUCCCCACUGCUGGCUUUGCUGUGUUCCACCUGUACUUCUGCACCUCUUCAGAGGGGACUUGACCUCCGGCUCUGCUGGCAUCAUGAGGGGACCCAGGGCAAUGAGAGGGCUUGCCAGAGCUGCCAGUGUCCUCGCCUGCUGCAGGAUGUGGGAGUUGCCUCUGGGAAGCGGGUCCCUUACACCCUCCCCACAGGAGGAGCUGGGCUGCUCCUAGGGAAAGGUAAGGAGACAAGGAGGCAGGGUCUCGUGAGCACAGCUGUCUGUUCCUGCUGGCUGCCAGCUCAUCCUGUGUCUCACACUUCUGGGCCAGGCCAAGGGACUUUACAGAACAGGUAUGGAGGCCAGUCCUGAGCUGGUGUUUUGUCUUCUGUGUAUUGUGGUUUGCAAGGCAAAGGCAUGAGAUGACAGUGACAGGGACAAGAGGCAGAGAGCUGCCUUCCCACAGGAGCUGGGGGAAGGGAUUUAAGGCCCAGCUGCUGACAUUUUUACAAAACAAAUAAGUGCAGGGUUGAGCUGGUGACCUCAGUGUGAUGGAAAAAGCCAGUCAGCAGCGUGGCUGCCAGAAAUGGUAUGUUUCUCGGCCCACCUGUUAGGAAGCGGAAAGGGAGAUGUUGAGUAAUAUCAUCCCAGCAGUUACCAAGCUGCCACUGCCUGCUUGGCACGGCUCUGCACACUUGAUGUGGGCUCAGUGAGAACCCUCCCAGCAUCCCCUGCAGAGGCCUAUGCUGUGGUUUCCAGUUGAGAGCCCGGGAACGGAGCAGAGAAGCAGAGAUUGCUUGAGAUUACUUGAGAUUUGCAGAAGAGUGGCUUACUGUGGAAGCACUCCACUCCCAGGACAUGCCUUGGACAACUGGAGGAAGGAGGACCAGGAAGGGGAGUGAGCGUUCUGCAGAAAUGUCUGUCAGCCUGGGCUGCUACAACACGAAGCCAUGGAGUGGGCGGCUUAUAAACUGCGCAAGCGUACUUCUCAUGAUUCUGGAGGCAGUGUGUAAGAUCAGGGUGGCUGUGGGGUCAGGUUCUGGGGAGAGCUCACUGUUGGGCUGCUGACUGCCGACUUCUCCCUGUGCCCUCACAUGAAACAAAAGAGGGCCAGUGCUCUCUGCAGUCUCUUUUGUAAGAUCCCACUCAGGAGGGCCACACCCCCAUGACCCCAUCACCUCCCAAAGCCUCAUCUCCUAACGCGUGGGAACUUGUGGGAGGAUACAAACAUGCAGUCCCGGAGAAGAGGGCAGCCUCAGCCUGGCCCUGGCUGGGUGAGUGGGACUCUGCAGGGGAAGUUGUACCUGGAGGAGUCCGUCCUGACUGCAGGCAAGGAAGCUGAGCCUGCCUUCUCCUUCAUUGCCCUCAUGGCAAAGCCCCCAGGGAUGUGGGGACCUAAAGUCUGUCACACCUAGGUCCUUGAGGGAGAAGGGAAAGCAUACUCAGUCCCUGGGGGUGGGGAGGGGGCGAAGGGCCUAAUUUGCUGCUCUAAGCCUUCUUCCCUCACAGGGUUUGGUGCAGGGAGGAGGUGUUCCCAGGCCCUCCCUUCUGGAAGCUGGGCCAAUCAGCUGAAGAGGGAGAAUGAGGAAGCUUGGGCGCUCCUGGCCACACCCCAUCUCUGUGGGUGCGCGUGUGCAGUUUGGGAAGAGCUGGGGUGCACACCCAGUGGCUGCUUGCCUGUGAGCCUUGUGUCCCCUAUGAGCCUUGGAGUUUCUGAAAACACUUUACAGUCCAUGCUGCCUUUGAGUCUGUCAUUUUUUUUAUUUUGUGGCACUGGGGAUGGAACUCCUGGCCUAACCUUAGGCAAAUGCUCCAUCAGUGAGCAACAUCCCAGCUGGGGUCUACUUUUGUUCCCUGUAUCCCUUCAGCUUUCUUCCUUCCUUCCGUUCCCUUGCACCGGACUUGCAGGGCCUCUGUUCGGUCACCCCACUGCCAGGGCUCCUUAGGUUCUGGCUCCAGCUCCAGGCGCCUCCCUGUCCCAAGUCACCAGAUUGUUGUCCAUCUGUGUAUUCGUCCAGCUUCUUUCUCAGCUGCUCUGGACUUCCAGCACUCAGCCUGCCAGACCCAUGGUUGCACAAGCCUUCAGGCCCUUUUUUCCACCCACCAGUGCUGGGUGCCCUGUAGCAGAGACAAGGGACAAAGGGUCUCCAGUCAGCCACGUUGUUGACUUCCUGAAAUUUCCAUUCUUGAGAAAACUUGAGUUUAUUUUCCACUGUCAGGAAUCCAGAGUCUGAAUGAUUUUACCACUGUUCCUUUUUUGCUGGGCUGGGAUUCUGUUUAUCAGGGGGCGAGGAAUUCGACUUCCUGGCUUUCCCAUCUCAGCAGUUUUUAUCCCUCCCAUUUGCUUCCCUUUUCCCUCCUCCUCUCCUUCCUCGUUUCCCAUCCCCUCUUUCCCAGCCCUUUCUCCUCCCACUUUCACUCUCUUCCCCUCCCCAUUCUCCCUUCCUAUGUUCUCUAUUGGUGUAAGUGAUCCAGGCCAGACCCUGGGAUGGGCCACUGUCAUUGCUGCUGCAGCUCCUGCUGCUUCCUGGGUUAGGAGCUCCAGAGCCUGGAGGCAAAUUCACACCACAGCCCUGUGGCCUGCUUCCCUACAAGCUGUGGAGCAGAAGUGCAUCGUCGGAAGUAACCUCUUUCUCAUCACCUCCCCCUUAGAGUGGGGGACGCCAAAGGACACUUAGCUUCUUGGACUCAGAGCUCAAGGAAGUGAGCGGUCCCCAAGACCUCUUCCAUUUUUACUGUCUUGUGGUUUUGUAUUAGGUGGUCUUCUCAUCCACUGGAAUGGCUGAAAUAAAAAAGAACGAGCCAAGGUGGAGGAGAGGCUGAGGCAGGAGGAUUGAGAGUCAAGGAAGGGGUUAGGGGGCAACUGGCCAGCUCACAUUGCAGUGGGAAGAGUUGUUAAUAAAGUUACACACAUAUCUA
Cavia porcellus (domestic guinea pig) is the source of this 3215-nucleotide long non-coding RNA. RefSeq lists it as uncharacterized. Lineage: Eukaryota; Metazoa; Chordata; Mammalia; Rodentia; Caviidae. The record is from RefSeq and is a predicted model, not a curated record. The transcript has 3 exons.